ACCCCACUAUGCUUAGCCCUAAACUUAGAUAUUUUCCACACAAAAAUAUCCGCCAGAGAACUACGAGCAUAAACGCUUAAAACUCUAAGGACUUGGCGGUACCUCAAACCCUCCUAGAGGAGCCUGUUCUAUAAUCGAUAAUCCACGAUCUACCUCACCAUCCCUUGCCAAACCCGCCUAUAUACCACCGUCACCAGCUUACCCCAUGAGGGGUACAAAAGUAAGCAAAAUAACCUAAACAGUUAAUAAGUCAGGUCAAGGUGUAGCUAACUGAGAUGGAAGAAAUGGGCUACAUUUUCUACUUUAGAAAUAACCACGGAAGAAUACCAUGAAAUAGGUUCCACAAGCAGGAUUUAGCAGUAAACUGGGAACAGAGAGCCCAAUUUAAGCCGGUCCUGAGGUACGCACACACCGCCGUCACCCU
This 424-nucleotide ribosomal RNA is filed under the name Caretta caretta (loggerhead turtle). Its description in RNAcentral is "partial 12S ribosomal RNA". It matches the Rfam family "Bacterial small subunit ribosomal RNA", at positions 784 to 1403 of the family's 1533-position model. Lineage: Eukaryota; Metazoa; Chordata; Testudines; Cheloniidae. The record is from RNAcentral.